Molecule: unclassified non-coding RNA, 176 nt
Filed under: soil metagenome
Description: partial internal transcribed spacer 1
Source: RNAcentral
CCUGAGUUGACAAACUCCCAAACCCAUUGUGAACCUUACCUCAUCGUUGCUUCGGCGGUCGACGGCCCCUCGCGGCCUCAGGGCCCGACCCCCCUCGGGGAGGCAGCCCGCCGGAGGACCGUCCAAACCAUUGUUAUUACAUGGCAUUGUCUGAGUGGCGUAAUCAAAUAAAGUCA